Molecule: non-coding RNA, 119 nt
Organism: Acanthosepion pharaonis
Lineage: Eukaryota; Metazoa; Mollusca; Cephalopoda; Sepiida; Sepiidae
Source: the annotation of a GenBank genome assembly
UUACGGCAAUACCACGUUGCGGUUGAAACUACCGGUUUCAGUACGAUCACCGAAGUUAAGCGACGUCGAGCCUGGUCAGUAUCUAGAUGGGAGACCACUUAGCAUACCAGGAGUUGUAU